Molecule: ribosomal RNA, 63 nt
Filed under: uncultured bacterium
Lineage: Bacteria
Description: partial 16S ribosomal RNA
Source: RNAcentral
AAGUAGUAGUACCUAACCGACGAAAGGGGGGCGUNUACCACGGUGAGAUUCAUGACUGGGGUG